RNA transcript from Anarrhichthys ocellatus (wolf-eel), 6687 nucleotides. It is a transcript of the gene named ELOVL fatty acid elongase 5, with no coding region annotated. The transcript is spliced from 8 exons. The record is from RefSeq and is a predicted model, not a curated record. Lineage: Eukaryota; Metazoa; Chordata; Actinopteri; Perciformes; Anarhichadidae.
CAAGGCUGCAGAUUGUGCUCAGACCGGCCAGCCAGCCAAGGUUUUCUCUCCCUUCCGCCUCUAAAGGUAGGCAGUCUACGGCACACCGCUGCAUCUCUUCAUCCACACUCAACAUUUCGCUCUCUGUCUAACGCGACCAGACCGCCGGGGAGCUGCACGGUGAAGCUUUCUAUCUUUUUUUUUUUUUUUUUGAAAAGGGAAAAUGUUGCAGCGCGCAUGGCGUUUGCAUAAGCGAUGAGUUUGGGUGAUGCUGAAGCGGCGACCUCUAGUCUGGAUGCGAUCGACAGGAUGCGAUAAGUGUUUUUUUUUUUUUUAUUAAUUAAUUCCUCUCUGGAAGUUUGGGGGAUGAAAUUAGAGGAUGAUGCAAUGAGAUAACCGCCGUCAACAUGUCUGCGCUCCCAUCUUUCAGUUGAACUGGAGAGCGGGCUGCUGUUUUAUACUGUGCACUGUACAGUAUAAGUAGUGCAGUUUAGAUUACACGUGUGACCCUGGUGGAAAAUACUGUAUGCAAUAUAUUGUGGUGCAAAUAAGCGGCAGGUCGCAGAUUUAGUAGGCAACAAUAUUUCAAUGCAUUUGUCAUGCAUUCGCAAUACUCAAUUGCGCUAAAAUAUUACUAUGAAGGCACAGGCAGCCGAAUGCUGCAUACUAUAAAUACAUUUACUUACUAAACUCUGUUUGUGAUUGAUAGUUGUCAAACUUCCUGGUGAAAACUUUUCAAUGUUGCUUUUGCUGCUGUUUCAAAUUUAAGUUCAAAACAAUGUAAUCAAUCCCACCAAGCAGCAAUCAGUUCUGAGCAUCCCGAGAGAAACAGUCACAUACACAAACAUAAUCAUACAGAUACACACACACACACACACACACACACACACACACACACACACACACACACACACACACACACACACACCAAGGAGCUAAAACGUGGAAUAAAAUCUAUAAAUAAUGGCAAAAAAGAAACCUAUGUAGCAUUCAAAAGUCUUAUUGCAGAGGGGAUGAAUGAUUUUGUAUGGCGAUUCGUUUUACAAGCACAUAACGCCUUAAUAGCAACAGAGAUAAUUCACUUGCAAAGACUUGUCUCAAAGAAGCCAACAUGUUGGCUUUCCGGAUGACUGAUUGCAGAAGAAUGCAUGUCUUUUGUUUCACUCCUAUGGUCUUAGAACAGUUUCUGUCUUUUACUGCGAUGCUGUGAAACCACCUCUCAAUGAAAGAUGAAAACGACAGAGGAUAACCAGGCUCAGAACUAGCUGUAAUUUGUAAUUUUACAUGUCUAAAUUACGGUGAUUUGAAUGAAUUAAAAUACCUACAAAUACAGGUACAUCAUCACAUCGAUGCAAAAAUCAUGUGAAGAUCCAAUAUGAAAAUAAAGAAGUCCUGCUAAUUGAUUUGCAACAUUGACCACAAUGACCUAAUACAUUGACAUAUGGGCGAGCUACCUUGGUGUAAACAAAAAUCCAUGAUGAUAGAUAUAUUUAUAUUGUUGUAUAUACAGUAUACUGUCAUAUCGGCCAACCCUAACUCUUACAGUAUUAGACUGUUUGAACAAGUCAUUAUCAGCUGCAGUGAUGAAACCACUCGUUUUGACCAAAGUCCAGAUGAUGCAUUAGUGUUUCCUUUGAUUGUUUAGAUGUAUUUUGAAUAGCUCCAACAUUGAGCUAGCACAGACUCACUGGCUGGCUGCUAGCAUGCUCCCCUGUUGGGGCUCAUCAUGCUCUGAUUAAGGCCUUGCAGAUUAUCAUGUUUUGGCGCAGCCUAAUGCAACUCUGAUAAUCAGAGCAUGGCUAUUACUGUACUGAGGACGACCAGAAUAAGCCAUAUUUUGUUCCUGUUGACAAGUGAUGGUGGACAAAUGCAACCAUCAGUAAUAUGCUGCCUGGGCGGCAGCUCAUCGUAAGUUUACACUCUCCAUAUACACUGUGCUGAGUUGCACAAUAGCACUCAAGGAACAAAUAUGUACCAUGUAUAUCUACCAUGUAAUAAGCACUUUAUUUAAAUAAGAGUCCUUGUUAACAUUGUGGAAUACAUAUUAACAUUGUGGAAUGUAAUCAUCCGAGUUGAUAAUCAAAAUACUAAGAGCUGCAUGCUGAUUGAAUUGAGAUGCUUUAUCUAAAUGUAAUAGUUGGACUCACAUUUCUGUCUAUAAAGUCCAAGAGUAUUUUGUAUAGCUGUGUUUUACACUCACCUCAGACACACAAAUCUGACUGGAGCCAAAAGUCUGGAACCCAUCUGCAGUCAAAAUCAGAUUUGUUAAGCAUAUUAUGUUAGAUUAUGUUCAGGGGUCUUUGUUGGAAAAACAGGCCAAACAGCAGAGGUUCACACGGCCCUCCGUCAUUUAGUAUAAGAGCCACAAUAUCUCACAUCUGAAGGAGACGUUAUGUAAGAAAGACAUACAGUAUGUAGUCCAUAUUUUGUUUCCAGCAGCAGACGCAGGUGUAGAAACUGUCCAGUAGCGCAGCAGUCUGUGAUGUAAUCAGAUUGAAUCGAGUGCAUAUCGCUGAAACACGUUAGUGGAAAUAAAGAAUUUCUGUGGUUGCAAUGAGUCAUUUUGUGCAAAGCCUGAGGUGACACAGCAAAGAAUGUGAAGACCUGCAGGAUUGUGCAAGUCCCCCUGAGGGGAUAAUACAUAAAGAGGUCUACAGUAAGAAAAGCAGCUGCAGGGAUUUGUUUGUGCAGUGUGAACAAUCUUGUCACAACUUUAUAUAAUGUUUUUUUCUGGAGAGGGUGGCUAUUCCACAGUUGUACGGUUUGUGUGAGAAAGCUACAUCAAUGUAUUUACAAAGUAUGAUUUACAGGAAGUGAGUUUUCUCUAUUGUAAAAACAUGACUGUGAAACUUCAGAUGUUUGUCCAGGCUUAGAUCUCAGUCAAAAAGCUUCCCACAGUUUGACCAUACGUUAGUAGGUAGUGGACAAAAGAGUAAUAAUAACUUAAAACUUCUAUGUGUAAGAAGAAUAAUCCAGACAUUUAUACAGCCGCGCCAUACAUGGCACACACAAAGCAGAAGCUUUAUAUCACAGGGUUGAUCUGACUGUCACAAGUAGAGCAGUGGAAUCUGAAAUUAUAUGAUAAAUUAUACUGUUUAUGAAAAAAGUACUCACCCCUGAAAUCUUUUUAACCAAAGUAAAUGUGGCAGCAUUGCCAGGGCCAGACAAGAAUCGUUGAUUUUCAAAACUUGAAGUACAUUAGCGGUAGUAAAUCUACACAUGUCAUUAUUUUCAACAAUCAUGAAGCCAGACAAUCCCGCUACAUCAGUCUAAAGUAAAUAGAGAUGAGGUUAUCGUCUGUUCACACCUGCCUGCUGGGAUCUUGUUUUACAUAAGUGGCCACAUUUGAUCCGUUGUUUGAAGCCACAUGGAUGCGAAGGAUCAGUUAUCGGGACAUGGGACGUAUAAGAGAGCGUUGGUGGACCACCUUGAGCACAAAACGACAUAUAUACAACAGACACGAUAGGAAUGUAUCAAAAUUGACAAAAUUGAGUUUAAUUUUGUUAUUUAAACACUACUUAGAGUUAACAGAAUUUCCAGAAGACUGUUGUUGUGAUCACUAACAAGCACUCUUUCAGGCAGAUUAAUUUAGCUUUUUAUACUUAAAGCUGCACUUAUCAAUAUUUUUAUACAAAAAAAGGUGUCAAAUGACUAUGUAUAAUUUAAAAUAUGUCACUUGUAAUGACAAACAUAGACAAUCAUCACCCAACUCUGCAGUUCCCCUCUCUUCUAUGGAGCGUUUCAGUGUCUUUCAGCUCAUUGUUUUGGUUUUACAGCCCGAAACUUUAGUCACUCUAAUCAGUGUUGUUACCAGCCACUCUUUUCAGUCAAAAAAAGCUCUGAAUAACUCAAUGUAUGCUACCUGUUUGGCUUCAAAUGACAGACAGACAAAAUUUGCAACUAAUUGGUAAACAUAGUGGAGCAUCUAGCUGCUAAAGAAGCAGAUAUUUCCUUCAGGAGUUGAUGGAGACCAAACCAGAGCUAACAGCAGAGUGAAUAUUGGACUUAGAUUUGUGAGGUGGGUAAUAACACAAUUUGUGGAAACAGACAAAUGUUUGCUUAAUAUGGCGAUCAUGUAUGUUCAUACUGCUUUAAAUUGUUUAAAUUAUUUUGUUCUGUUUUUAGGUGAGAAAUGGAGACUCUCAAUCAUAAACUGAACACUUACUUAGAGUCAUGGAUGGGACCCAGGGAUCAGCGGGUGCGGGGAUGGCUGCUGCUCGACAACUACCCACCAACCUUUGCACUCACAGUCAUGUACCUUCUGAUCGUGUGGAUGGGGCCCAAGUACAUGAAACACAAGCAGCCGUACUCCUGCAGAGGCCUCCUGGUGGUUUACAAUCUGGGCCUCACACUCUUGUCCUUCUACAUGUUCUAUGAGCUUGUUACUGCUGUGUGGAGCGGUGGCUACAACUUCUACUGCCAGGACACUCACAGUGCACAGGAAGUGGAUAAUAAGAUCACAAAUGUCCUGUGGUGGUACUACUUCUCCAAGCUCAUCGAGUUCAUGGACACCUUUUUCUUCAUACUACGAAAGAACAAUCACCAGAUCACGUUUCUUCACAUCUACCACCACGCUAGCAUGCUGAAUAUCUGGUGGUUUGUUAUGAACUGGGUCCCCUGCGGCCAUUCGUACUUUGGCGCCUCCCUGAACAGCUUCGUCCACGUGGUGAUGUAUUCUUACUACGGCCUGUCGGCCAUCCCAGCCAUACGGCCGUACCUUUGGUGGAAGAAGUACAUCACACAGUUACAGCUGAUCCAGUUCUUUUUAACCAUGUCCCAGACGAUGUCUGCAGUCAUAUGGCCAUGUAACUUCCCCAAGGGUUGGCUGUACUUCCAAAUAAGUUACAUGGUCACACUCAUUUUCUUUUUCUCAAACUUCUACAUUCAGACUUACAAGAAGCACAGUGGUUCUCUAAAGAAGGAGCACCAAAAUGGUUCUCCUGCAUCAACAAAUGGACAUGCAAAUGGCACGCCAGCCAUGGAGCGCGCUGCACACAAGAAACUGAGGGUGGAUUGACAUUUGAGAAACCGCCACCUAAUUCUCACUGUAGCGUGUUAGCUAAUGCUGCUAGGAGAUGAUGCUAGAAAUAAUGCGGGGUGAUGGUGUUGAGGUUCUCCCCUGAAAACAGCGGUAUAGUAAGCAUCUGUUUAAUCAUUUCCAUGAUGUGCUUAACAAGUGUGUCUUCAGGACUUCAUAGAUCAGGCUUCAAGACCCAAAGUUUAUCGGUUCACCGCCAGAAUAAAUCAGGCAACACUUGCUCCUCCUUCAUUACCACCACUUUGGGGCCCUUGAGCAAGGCCCUUAACGCCAACCGCUUCAGUGGAGCCGCAGAUCAGACUGUGGUUGUACUGGGCAGCUUCCAGGUGUGAAACAAUGUAGAAAUUUGGAUGUUUAGAGGUGCUGGUGGGAAAAUUUUGUUACCUUUGAACAGAGCCAGGCUAGCAGUUUCCCCCGGUUCCUAGUCUUUAUGCUAAGCUAAGCUAACUUUUUGCUGGUUGCAGUUUCAUAUUGAAUUUACAGGCAGAGGAGUAGAAGGGACGCAGUUAUAAGUACAGACAAUAAAUCCUCUAAAGGGCUUUACUGUUGAAGAUAGCCAAUGUACAACAAAACACAACCAAGGUUUUUUAUCAUUUUGAUGAUGAACUAAAAAAUGUACAAAGCAAAUAGGGAUCAAAAUUGAUCAGUAUAUUGACUCACCCAAUAGGCAAAAAAGAGCAGAAUAAAACCACUGUUGGGGGGACACCUACUUAAUCUCAUACAUUUCACCUUUCACUUGGAUUUAGUUCACAUUUGCACUUAUAGUGCCCUGAUAUCUGCCUACCUCAAAGCAAUAUAAAACUGGAGCCUAGAGGCUUUAAAAUUAGAAGUUAUCAUGUGCAAAUAAACUCAAACUUAAUUUCAAAUUAAACAAAAUUAAGUUUUUAAUUGCCUUUUGUUGUUUGUAUUUGUAUUGUCUAUAUCUGUCUUUUUCUACCAACUCAUACAAAAGCAGAAAUAGAUUUAUUUGCCAUUUUAAUUCGGAAUUUGCAACAGGCUAUUGUCCUUCCUUUAGAAUAUGUUUUGAAAAACCCUCUACAGUAGAGUCAACAAAGCAGAAAUCAUUUUAGCCUAAUCCAACACAACUUUCACAUUUAUUUUUUUCUCUGCAAAUCCUGUUUGAUCUGUCCGCGCUAGGUUCCCAGAAAAUGUAAUGCGUGGAUUAUACUGGUGUGUCCUCAGCAAGACAAAUGAUGCACUGUAGAAGUUUUUCCCUGAGGUUGUGUAAUAGGACCUCUAUAACUCUAUGAUGUAUCUUUGUUCCUAUAGCCAUGAGGAUGCUUUGAUUCACAUCACUACCCUGAGGCUGAUGUUUUAGUUUUGCAACAUUUACCAAAUUCCCUUCUAUGUGGUAUUUGUCAAUACAAGUCAUUCAGUUAAAACAAAUCAAACUAUAAGAGCAUAUUCUGUUCACCACUGUUUAUUUGAGGGAGAAAGUGCACCAUGAAACAAACACCGUAUGAACAUUCAUUGCUUGGAGCAGGUGGGAAAGGUUGCUCAUUAUUUUAGCUCACAGCAGAUAAUUUUUCUGAAAUCAGAAAAUAAUUAGUAUUCUAUCAUGUAAACCUGAAAUAAAGUGGCUGCAUGUAGGAAACAUGAGGGUUCACUUGUCAAGACUGUAAUCCAGCUGCAACACAAAUUAAACAAGCUGAGUAUGCAUUUUCUUUAAA